Molecule: non-coding RNA, 99 nt
Organism: Medicago truncatula (barrel medic)
Lineage: Eukaryota; Viridiplantae; Streptophyta; Magnoliopsida; Fabales; Fabaceae
Source: Rfam
GUGUCAUGGUCAUUGUUGACCGUUCAUAUGAACCCUGCAAUUGCAAUGCAUUUUAACUUGUGUGGGGUUCAUAUAACGGUCAAUAGAGACCCUUGACAU